Molecule: non-coding RNA, 1162 nt
Organism: Camellia sinensis
Lineage: Eukaryota; Viridiplantae; Streptophyta; Magnoliopsida; Ericales; Theaceae
Source: RefSeq, a predicted model, not a curated record
UAUAUAUUGCUUGGAGCCAAGUGUCUCUCCGAAACCUCUCUGCUCUCUCUCUCUCUCCCACUUCUGCCCAAACACCUGUGUUCAACUCCCUCUCUACACGUUCUCUCUCAGUGGAUUUGAGGUUUUGAUUUUCGCCCUAAUGACAGUGAUUUUCUUCGCAAGUAGACCAAUUUUUAUUUUUACAAAAUUCUACUGCACCGCCGCUGCUCAUCAUCAUCGUCAGUCUACUGCUACCAUUGAAGAGGAAGAUCAACAAAGAGCAAAAACCCAAUUCAGCAUCGACAGCAAGCAUCUUUUGCAGUUGGAUUCCCAACUUUUGUGUUUGUGUGCUCUCAUCCAAUACUUCUCUCCAUUUUUCUAUUUGUGUGCUCUCAUCCAACCACAUCAUCGCUGUACCGCUGUUCAAUCAACACGACCACCAGCUGCUCUUCUCAGGGAAGAGUGGCAAUGGGUUGGCUUCCCAUGAGCAAAUUAAAUGGAUUCAAAAGUUGUAAAGAGGAUGCAUUUGUCUAUUCUCUCUCAAAUUGCCCCCUCUAUGAAACAGGUACAUAUGCAUUGGCUUGAAGUAAUGUUUGAUUAGCUCAUAAAAAGUUGUUGCGAUUUUGUUUGCUGCAAUGGUUGAUUAGUUGUAAAGAGCAUGCAUUUGUCUAUUCUCUCUCAAAUUGGCCCCUCUAUGAAACACGUACAUAUGCAUUGGCCUGAAAUAGUAUUUGAUUAGCUCAUAAAAAGUUGUUGCGAUUUUGUUUGCUGCAAUGGUUGAUUAGGUUCAUAUGCAUUGGCUUGAAGUAGUGUUUGGUUAGCUCAUAAAAAGUUGUUGCGAUUUUGUUUGCUACAAUGGUUGAUUAGGUGCUGGUGAGAUGCCUCCGCCAAGGCAAUAGCUUAGGAGGGAAAGGAGCUGAAGGCUUCUCUUUUUGUAUCGUGCUAAUUGUUUUAAUUCUAGCCAAGGGCUUUAUAUGUAUUGGAUUUAUAUCCAUUUUGUUGCAACCAAGCACGGCCUUGGAAAAAUAUAAGCCAUUAGGGCAUGUGUAGAUCUGUUAACUUUCGUUUCUUUAUCACUUGUAACACAUGCUAUAGAUUUAGGAUUAGCCAUUUAUGAAUGUAUAUUGCAUGUGUCACCUUUUGUAUACGGACUCUGAUGAAUGAAAGUAUAUUGCUUUUAUUA